Molecule: long non-coding RNA, 516 nt
Filed under: Rattus norvegicus (Norway rat)
Lineage: Eukaryota; Metazoa; Chordata; Mammalia; Rodentia; Muridae
Description: long non-coding RNA NONRATT024579
Source: RNAcentral
GCUGGUGCGUGCUGCUGCCCCAGCAUCGGUGAGGAAGGAGAGCUGGAUGGAGACGGAGGCCGAGAGGCUUCAAAAUCAGGGCCUGGAGAAAUGGCUCAGUGCUGGAGAAUAUUUACUUUUCUUGCAGGGGACACAAGUUCAGUUCUCAGUGCCCACCUCAAGAGGUUCCUAAUUGCUUCUAACUCUAGCUCCAGGGGAUUUGAGUCUCUCUUCCGGCCUCCACGGGCACCCCCACACAGGUGCACAUAAAAACAAGUGAGUUUUAGAAAGACAGAGGCCAUUACAGAGGAAGAGGGGAUCUCUACCACCCCGACUGGCUACACAAAACAAAACAGAGCAUGUGCAGAAGAACUGACCGUAAGCGAAGCAUGCGCAGAAAAAGCGAAGCGUAUGUAAAUGACUGUAAAAGGUCACAAGGUUUAGGCAGGGGCCUCUGAGCCUUUGACCUUUCUUUAGAGCUGGCCCACCUCACAUAUAAAAAGUGUUUUUCUCUUUUAAUAAACUGUAUCUGUUUCU